Molecule: non-coding RNA, 152 nt
Organism: Theobroma cacao (cacao)
Lineage: Eukaryota; Viridiplantae; Streptophyta; Magnoliopsida; Malvales; Malvaceae
Source: RefSeq, a predicted model, not a curated record
UUAUUGGAAAGAAUUUCAAAGUUUCAAGCUACCAAGGUCCCAACGAAGCCCCAUCAUCCCAUUUGAACAAUUAAGGAAGUUAGGAUCGGCUAAAGGCUCAAAUAAUACCGGUGUUUCUUUCGUAUGUUGAUGUGGACCCGGCUAUGUGCGAG